GACGAACGCUGGCGGCGUGCUUAACACAUGCAAGUCGAACGGUAAGGCCCUUCGGGGUACACGAGUGGCGAACGGGUGAGUAACACGUGGGUGAUCUGCCCUGCACUUCGGGAUAAGCCUGGGAAACUGGGUCUAAUACCGGAUAGGACCACUGCCUGCAUGGGUGGUGGUGGAAAGCUUUUGCGGUGUGGGAUGGGCCCGCGGCCUAUCAGCUUGUUGGUGGGGUGAUGGCCUACCAAGGCGACGACGGGUAGCCGGCCUGAGAGGGUGACCGGCCACAGUGGGACUGAGAUACGGCCCAGACUCCUACGGGAGUCAGCAGUGGGGAAUAUUGCACAAUGGGCGCAAGCCUGAUGCAGCGACGCCGCGUGAGGGAUGACGGCCUUCGGGUUGUAAGCCUCUUUCAGCUAUGACGAAGCGCAAGUGACGGUAGUAGCAGAAGAAGGACCGGCCAACUACGUGCCAGCAGCCGCCGUAA
This 478-nucleotide ribosomal RNA is filed under the name uncultured bacterium. RNAcentral describes it as "partial 16S ribosomal RNA". It matches the Rfam family "Bacterial small subunit ribosomal RNA", at positions 28 to 523 of the family's 1533-position model. The record is from RNAcentral.